GGUUAAGCGACUAAGCGUACACGGUGGAUGCCCUGGCAGUCAGAGGCGAUGAAGGACGUGCUAAUCUGCGAAAAGCGCCGGCGAGGUGAUAUGAACCUUUGACCCGGCGAUGUCCGAAUGGGGAAACCCAGUGCAAUCCGUUGCACUAUCGUUAACUGAAUACAUAGGUUAACGAGGCGAACCGGGGGAACUGAAACAUCUAAGUACCCCGAGGAAAAGAAAUCAACCGAGAUUCCCCCAGUAGCGGCGAGCGAACGGGGAGCAGCCCGGAGUCUGAAUCAGCUUGUGUGUUAGUGGAACGGUCUGGAAAGUCCGACGGUACAGGGUGAUAGUCCCGUACACGAAAGCACACUUGCUGUGAACUCGAAGAGUAGGGCGGGACACGUGGUAUCCUGUCUGAAUAUGGGGGGACCAUCCUCCAAGGCUAAAUACUCCUGACUGACCGAUAGUGAACCAGUACCGUGAGGGAAAGGCGAAAAGAACCCCGGCGAGGGGAGUGAAAAAGAACCUGAAACCGUGUACGUACAAGCAGUGGGAGCCUCUUUAUGGGGUGACUGCGUACCUUUUGUAUAAUGGGUCAGCGACUUAUAUUCUGUAGCAAGGUUAACCGUAUAGGGGAGCCGAAGGGAAACCGAGUCUUAACUGGGCGUUAAGUUGCAGGGUAUAGACCCGAAACCCGGUGAUCUAGCCAUGGGCAGGUUGAAGGUUGGGUAACACUAACUGGAGGACCGAACCGACUAAUGUUGAAAAAUUAGCGGAUGACCUGUGGCUGGGGGUGAAAGGCCAAUCAAACCGGGAGAUAGCUGGUUCUCCCCGAAAGCUAUUUAGGUAGCGCCUCGUGAAUUCAUCUUCGGGGGUAGAGCACUGUUUCGGCUAGGGGGCCAUCCCGGCUUACCAACCCGAUGCAAACUACGAAUACCGAAGAAUGUUAUCACGGGAGACACACGGCGGGUGCUAACGUCCGUCGUGAAGAGGGAAACAACCCAGACCGCCAGCUAAGGUCCCAAAGUCAUGGUUAAGUGGGAAACGAUGUGGGAAGGCACAGACAGCCAGGAUGUUGGCUUAGAAGCAGCCAUCAUUUAAAGAAAGCGUAAUAGCUCACUGGUCGAGUCGGCCUGCGCGGAAGAUGUAACGGGGCUAAACCAUGCACCGAAGCUGCGGCAGCGACGCUUAGGCGUUGUUGGGUAGGGGAGCGUUCUGUAAGCCGUUGAAGGUGUCCUGUGAGGGGUGCUGGAGGUAUCAGAAGUGCGAAUGCUGACAUAAGUAACGAUAAAGCGGGUGAAAAGCCCGCUCGCCGGAAGACCAAGGGUUCCUGUCCAACGUUAAUCGGGGCAGGGUGAGUCGACCCCUAAGGCGAGGCCGAAAGGCGUAGUCGAUGGGAAACAGGUUAAUAUUCCUGUACUUGGUGUUACUGCGAAGGGGGGACGGAGAAGGCUAUGUCAGCCGGGCGACGGUUGUCCCGGUUUAAGCAUGUAGGCGGAGGUUCCAGGUAAAUCCGGUACCUUAUUAACGCUGAGGUGUGAUGACGAGGCACUACGGUGCUGAAGUGAUAAAUGCCCUGCUUCCAGGAAAAGCCUCUAAGCAUCAGGUAACACGAAAUCGUACCCCAAACCGACACAGGUGGUCAGGUAGAGAAUACCAAGGCGCUUGAGAGAACUCGGGUGAAGGAACUAGGCAAAAUGGUGCCGUAACUUCGGGAGAAGGCACGCUGAUGUGUAGGUGAAGUCCCUGCGGACGGAGCUGAAAUCAGUCGAAGAUACCAGCUGGCUGCAACUGUUUAUUAAAAACACAGCACUGUGCAAACACGAAAGUGGACGUAUACGGUGUGACGCCUGCCCGGUGCCGGAAGGUUAAUUGAUGGGGUUAGCGGCAACGCGAAGCUCUUGAUCGAAGCCCCGGUAAACGGCGGCCGUAACUAUAACGGUCCUAAGGUAGCGAAAUUCCUUGUCGGGUAAGUUCCGACCUGCACGAAUGGCGUAAUGAUGGCCAGGCUGUCUCCACCCGAGACUCAGUGAAAUUGAACUCGCUGUGAAGAUGCAGUGUACCCGCGGCAAGACGGAAAGACCCCGUGAACCUUUACUAUAGCUUGACACUGAACACUGGUCCUUGAUGUGUAGGAUAGGUGGGAGGCUUUGAAGCGUGGACGCCAGUCUGCGUGGAGCCAACCUUGAAAUACCACCCUUUAAUGGCUGGUGUUCUAACGUAGACCCGUAAUCCGGGUUGCGGACAGUGUCUGGUGGGUAGUUUGACUGGGGCGGUCUCCUCCCAAAGAGUAACGGAGGAGCACGAAGGUUGGCUAAUCCUGGUCGGACAUCAGGAGGUUAGUGCAAUGGCAUAAGCCAGCUUGACUGCGAGCGUGACGGCGCGAGCAGGUGCGAAAGCAGGUCAUAGUGAUCCGGUGGUUCUGAAUGGAAGGGCCAUCGCUCAACGGAUAAAAGGUACUCCGGGGAUAACAGGCUGAUACCGCCCAAGAGUUCAUAUCGACGGCGGUGUUUGGCACCUCGAUGUCGGCUCAUCACAUCCUGGGGCUGAAGUAGGUCCCAAGGGUAUGGCUGUUCGCCAUUUAAAGUGGUACGCGAGCUGGGUUUAGAACGUCGUGAGACAGUUCGGUCCCUAUCUGCCGUGGGCGCUGGAGAAUUGAGGGGGGCUGCUCCUAGUACGAGAGGACCGGAGUGGACGCAUCACUGGUGUUCGGGUUGUCAUGCCAAUGGCACUGCCCGGUAGCUAAAUGCGGAAGAGAUAAGUGCUGAAAGCAUCUAAGCACGAAACUUGCCCCGAGAUGAGUUCUCCCUGAGACUUUAAGUCUCCUGAAGGAACGUUGAAGACGACGACGUUGAUAGGUCGGGUGUGUAAGCGCAGCGAUGCGUUGAGCUAACCGAUACUAAUGAACCGUGAGGCUUAACCUU
This 2906-nucleotide ribosomal RNA is filed under the name Enterobacter hormaechei. RNAcentral describes it as "23S ribosomal RNA". It matches the Rfam family "Bacterial large subunit ribosomal RNA". The record is from RNAcentral. Lineage: Bacteria; Pseudomonadati; Pseudomonadota; Gammaproteobacteria; Enterobacterales; Enterobacteriaceae.